This 7162-nucleotide long non-coding RNA is filed under the name Homo sapiens (human). Its description in RNAcentral is "HSALNT0343714". The record is from RNAcentral. Lineage: Eukaryota; Metazoa; Chordata; Mammalia; Primates; Hominidae.
CUUGUCCCUAAAAUUAUACUUUUAUGGAUAAUUUCCAAACUUAACUAUAAAAUUAGCAAUAUUACUCUUUAAUCAAAUAAUCUCACUUCUAGAAAUGCAUCUUAAGAAAAAAAUCCCAAAUGAAGAUUCCAAGUAAAGAAAGAUAUUUGUUAUAGAAUUGUUUAUAAUGUUAAAUUAAAGAAAGUGACUUAGCUGGUCAACAAUAGGAAAAUAAUUAAGUAAAUUUUUCAAUGUCCAGUGGAGGAACCUUAUGCAGACCUCCAAAAUAAUAGUUGUGGGUCUAAGUAGAAAUAAUACAAAUUGCUGAUGAUGUGCUAAAUGAAAACACUAGGAUAUAAAAUUAAGUGAUACCAUCCUUGAAACUAUAUAGAAUAUGAAUAAACAAAGAAAAGGAACACAAAACAGGAAAUUAGUUGACUUUAAAGAUAACUCUUAAUUUUUAAAUUAUUUAUAGUGUUACACUUGUAAGACAUUUUAAAUGAUAAAUAUUAUUUUAUUAAAUACUGUAUUAUUUUAAAAUAUAUCUUCUCUUGUGCCUCUACCAGGGACAGAGGUAUUAUAAACCUAUGGUUUAGAACACUGGAAAAAUAUAAACAGAGCUAUAGAUUUAAACAAACAACAUAAAACAUUUUAAUUCAGUAUAUAGAGGUAAAAUUGGGAAUGCUCAUAAAGAUUAGAAUGGUUCCACUCAAGAAUGAACAUGAAAUGUAAAGUCAAAUAAGGUAAAGAAAUUUGGUUAUGGUUUUGUUUUCCUUGAGUGUCAUGCACAAUGAAGUUAUUUUAAUAAUUAAGGUUGUCUUUUGCACAAAUGAAAAUGGCAAUAAUAAGAUGUCAGAGCUGUAAGGGAUGUUGGAGAUUAUCUGUCAUCAUCUUUCACUCACAAAUUAAGAAACAGACCUUGAGAAGAUAAAUGACUCACCCAAGGUCACAUAAGUAGUCAGUGGAGAAGGAGCAAUGAAGUUCAGGUCUUUUUCAAUGUUAUUCAUCCCCCAGAAUAAACACGCAUUAAAUAAGCAUUCAUUAAGUAGCUAGCUAUUCUGUGCUAGCUGUAUUUGGACACUGUGAAUAUACGGGACACUGUGUUUCACACUCUACACAAAGAUAAGUUGUGGACAUAUCCUACCCUUAAAGGAUCAGAGUUUUGUGGGGUGAACAUUAGGGUAAUAAUUAUAAGACAUAUUGAUAUAAGUACUUGCAUUCUACUAAGUUCCAUGUGCCUUGGGGCAUGACCUUGAAGGACAUAACAUAACAUUUGGUGUCUGAGAAGUCUCAGGAAAGAAAUGACUUUUGCCUUAUCUCUAAAGGUUUGAGUGAAAUUUUACCACCCAGAAACAGCACAUUGCAAAAGCACAGAAAAAUGAAAAACUUGGGUGUUCUACAGAAUGCAGAAUACAUUGAUAUGGCACAAAUUUGGAAUGGGGGUAGGUGGCAAGGAAGAAGGGGAGGCAGAUGAGGCUAGAGUGGGGCAAGUUACAGACACUUGGAGAGAUUCUUCUAUUCUGAGGAUUUUGAAAUUUGUGGAAUAGGAAGAUAAAAUACAUGGAUUAUUCCUAGGCAGGAAAAAUGGUAUAAUCAUAUAAUGUAAGUUUCAGAAAUGUAUCAAGGUGUGGAGGACAAAGCUGGACAGGAAGAAGCAGGAAGACAAGUUAUGAGGCUAUUGAGGUAGUCUGUGCAAGAUAUACUAAGGACCUGAUAUGAGGAAGUGACAGUGGGCUAGGAAAGGGAAUAAAUACUUGAAAGAUAUUUCUGAGGUAUAAUUUUUAAAAUUUUAACAAAUUGGUUGUAAAUAGGGAAAUGGUGGAAUAAGAGUUAAAUCCAACCAUCCUGAAGUAGUUUAAUCAAUAAGUAGCUCUAGAAAUUUUAGGCAAAUUUAAAUAACACAAAAACCCUAAAAGAAUUUAAUUUGCUCCUAUCUGUACGUCACAAAGUGAUGCUCAAAACUUCCAUAAUUAGCACAUCAAAUCUCUUGGUAAUCAAAUGCAAGUUUUGCAAGGGAGAUCUUGAAUUAAGAAUAUAUAUCACACUUACCAAGACUGAAUCAGGAAGACAUAGAAAUAUGAAUCAGAUCUAUAACUAGUAAUGAGAUUGAAUUAUUAAUCAACUAUCAAACAAAGGAAAGUCCAGGACCAAAUGGGUGUCACUGGUGGAUUCUGCUAAACGUUUAAAGAAGAAUUAACACUAAUUAUCCUCAGACUCUUCCAGAAAAUUAAAGAGUUCCAAACUCAUUCUAUAAGGCCAGCAUUAAUCUUAUACCAAACCCAGACAAAAACACUUCAGGAAAACUAUAGACUAAUAUCCCUGAUGAAUAUUGACACAAAAUCCUCAACAAAAUGCUACCAAACAGAAUUCAACAGCAUAUUUAAAAGAUUCUACACAAUGACUAUGUGAGAUUUAUUUCUGGAAUGUGAGGAUGAUUCAACAGAUGAAAAUCAAUCAAUGUAAUAUAUCACAUUAACAAAUCAAUCAAUGUAGUAUAUCACAUUUACAAAACGAAGGGUAAAAAAAACUCAGUCGUCUCAAUUGAUAUAAAAAAGAACCUGACAAAAUUCAACAACCUUGAAUAAUACAAUAAAAUAACUCAAUAAACUAAGGAUAGAGGGUAACUACCCUAACAUAAUAAAAGCCAUAUAUGAAAAAUUCACAGCUCACGUCAUAUUCAAUGGUGAAAGACUGAAAGCUCUGUCUCCAAUAUCAGAAACAAGACAAUUAUGCCCACUUUUGCCAUUUCUAUUCAACACAGUCCUGGAAGCUUAAGCCAGCACUAUUAGGCAAGAAAAAUCAGUAAAAGGCUACACACUGAAAGAAAGAGGUAAAAUUAUCUCCGUCUGCAGACAUAAUCUUAAGUGUAGAAUGCUUUAAAGAUUUCACCAAUUAUUAUUUUUUAAACUACUAGAACUAACAAAUUCAGCAAAGUUGCAGGAUACAAACUCAACACAAAAGAAGCAGGUGUGUUUCUAUACACUAACAAUGAGCAAUCCAAAAAAAUAAGAAGCAGCAGCCAAUUCCAUUUACAGUAGCACCAAAAAUAAUAAAAUACUUCGGAGUAACUUAACCAAGGUGGUCAAAAAAUUGUAUAUUGAAAACUACAAAACAAUGUUUAAGCAAAUAAGACACAAAUAAAUGGAAAUAUAUUUUUGUUUAUUAGUUAAAAGACUUAAUAUUGUUAACAUAUCAGUACUACCCAAAGCAAUCUAUAGAUUUAUGCAAUUCCUGUCAAAAUACCAGUAGCAUUUUUUGCAGAAAUAGAAAAAUCCAUUUUCAGAUUCAUAUGAAAUCACAGGGGACCCCAAAUAGCCAAAACAAUCUUCUAAAAAAAGAACAAAGAUGGAGGUUUUACAUUUCCUGAUUUCAAAACUUAUUAAAAUGCUAUAUUAAUCAAAACUAUGUGGUACUGGCAUAAAGACAUGCAUAUAGACCAAUGGAAUAGAAUAAGAGAGCUCAGAAAUUAGCUCUCAUACAUAGGGUCAAAUGAUUUUUGGCAAGAGUGUCAAGACUGUUCAAUGGGGAAACAGUGUCUCCUCAACAAAUGAUGCUGGGAAAAUUGGACAUCCAUAUGCAAAAGAAUGAAUUUGGACCUCUAUCUUACACCAUAUACAAAAAUUACGUCAAAAUGGAUCAAAGAUCUAAACUGAAGACCUAAAACUAUAAAAUGCUUACCAGAAAAUAUAGAGGAAAAGCUUUAUGAUAUUAAAUUUGGCAAAGAUUUCCUGGACAUGACACCAAAAACACAGGCAAGAAAAGUAAAAGUAGACAAAUUGAAAUAUAUCAAAAUAUAAAACUUCUGUGCAUCAGAGGACACAAGCAACAGAGUAAAAAGGCAAACUAUGGAAUUAAAGAGAAUAUUUGUAAAUACAUCUGAUAAGGAAUUAAUAUCCAGAAUAUAUUAAGAACUCCUACAACUGAACAACAACAAAAAAAUAACCUGAUUUAAAAAUGGAAAAAAAUCUGAACAGACAUUUUUCAAAAGUGAUAUAUAAACGGAUAUAAAUGGCCAACAAGCAUAUGAAAAGAUAUUCAACAUUGUUAAUCAUUAGGGAAAUGCAAAUCAAAACCAACAAUGAGAUAUCACUCACACCCAUUAGAAUGAAGAAGAAAGAAAAAAAAGAUGGAAGGAAGGAAGAAAAAAAAAGAAAGAAAGAAGGAAAGAAAGACAGGGAAAGAAGAGUUGAUAAAGAUAAGGAGAAAUUGGAACUUUAGUGCACGAUUGGGAAUGUAAAAUGGUGCAGACACAAGGAAAAGAGUGUAGCAGUUUCUAUAUGAUCCAACAAUUCCACUGUUGCACAUAUAUAUGCAAAAUAAUUGAAGGCAAGAUUUCAAAGAGAUAGUUACAUACUCAUAUUCAUAGCAGCACUAUUCACAAUAGCCAAGAGGUAAAACCAACGCAAGUGUCCAUUAAUGGAUGAACAGAUAAGCAAAAUGAGAUCUAUUCAUACAAUGCAAUAUUAAUUAGCCUUCAAAAGGAAGAAAACUCUGACACAGUCAACAACUUGGAUGAAUUUUGAAAACAUUAUGCUAAGUGAAAUAAGCCAGUCACAAAGAGACAAAUACUGUAUGAUUCCACUUAAUAAGAGAUAUCUAGAGUCGUCAGAUUCUUAGAAAUGGAAAGUAGAAUGGUGAUUGCCAGGCACCAGGGCAAGGUGAAAGAAACAGUUGUUAUUUAAUGGGUACAGAGUUUCUGUUUUGCAAAUGAAAAAGUUCUGGAGAUUGGUUGUACAGCAAUGUGCAUAUACUUAAUACUCCUGAAUUAUACAAUUAGAAAUUGUUACAAUGGUAAAUUUUAUAUAUAUUCUUAACCACAAUCGAAUUUUUGAAAAAAGAAUACUAGUGGUGGAAAACCUCUGAAAGAAGGGUAAAAAACUAUGUUAUGGGCAACAAUGAAAAUAAAUUUACACUGAGGCCACAAAUUAUUGAAAUUCAUCUCUGACUUUAAGUCUCAGACCAUGAGCAAGGAAAAUAAAUUCUCUUAAGAAGAUAGGCCCAAAUGACUAAGAGUCAGGUAGAAGCAAUUUGCAAAGCAAGGAAAGAAAUAAUUUCUUGAUGGAGUCAUCUACACUGUGAUGCCAAUCCCUGCACCAGUUUUCGUUGGAGCGUGCCCUCCCCUCUUCAUUAAUCAAAGGUAAUGCAGAAUUACAGAAUGGAAUUACUUGCCAAAGAGUUUUCCAUUUUCUGUCCCUGAGAUGAUGCUGAUUGGAGCGAGAAAAGUUUUCUGAGGACAAAUGCUCACGCUCUUAGCACCAGAGUUUGCUUGUAGCAAAAACAGAAUGCUUAGAGGUGUGCUUUUGUUAUUAUUCUCAGUGGCUCUGGUGAGCCCAGUGCAAUCAGCGAUACUCAUCCAGGCCAAUUCACCAUUAGGGAGCCGCACAUGAAACCAUUUACAUUUCCCAUUUUGUUUCAAGCAAGUCAGGUCUUUAACUGGAUUGUGGUAAUUGAACCUUCCUGUUACAACACUGCUUUUGCUGCCCAACGGAUUCAAAAGCUGCUCUCGUUACAUUUAUUUGAACUUUUAUUUCAUUCAUACUUUAUACCUCUGGUUCUCAAUCUUCAGUCCUGUAGCGAACUCUAUAAAAGGAAAAAGAAAUUCUUACAGACUCUCACAGAUUCAUUUAAAUUCUUUUUUUGUUUUAUUUUAUUAUUAUUAUUAUUUUUUUUUUUUUUUUUGAGACGGAGUCUGGCUCUAUCACCCAGGCUGGAGUGCAGAGGCGCGAUCUCGGCUCACUGCAAGCUCCGCCUCUCGGGUUCACGCCAUUCUCCUGCCUCAGCCUCCCGAGUAGCUGGGACUACAGGCGCCCACCACCACGCCCGGCUAAUUUUUUGUAUUUUUAGUAGAGACGGGGUUUCACCGUGUUAGCCAGGAUGGUCUCGAUCUGCUGACCUCAUGAUCCACCCGCCUCGGCCUCCCAAAGUGCUGGGAUUACAGGCGUGAGCCACCGCCCCCAGCCCAUUUAAAUUCUUUUAAUGAUAAUUUUAAUUAAGUAUGUUUUACAAAAAUAAGCCUAAAAGUCACAAUACUAAUUAUACAAUAAUGAAAACCAAAUAAUAUUCAAAUACAAUGUGAGUAUAUAACCCAAACACUCAAAAUCCUAAUAUUAAUGUUGUAUGACAGUGUUGUUUUUCCUUGAAUUGUAUCACCACCUUCACCUGUUUGCUCCAGAGCAGGUUCUUUUUAGAUAGGUGCUGUGAGAACACUCAGUUGUCUGGUCAUAUUUCUAUGCUGCAAUUACAGUGGAGCCUCUGCUCACACAGCCUGUCAUGAUGCCAUUUGGCCUCUCUUAGCACAAAGGCAGCAUUUACAUAAUAAUUCCAUUCCUAUCCUUUACUCAUUAGCCCACAGUCACAAAACAGUGCUAUUUGGUGAUCAGCGCAAAUGGGGCCCCUGAAAUCAGAGAGCAAUUUUUAUCGAAAGAAGAGUCUAAGUGAUACAGAAUACAUCUCCACUGUAUUAAUUUUUAAAUGACCAUAUAAAUUAAAACAAAAAUUUUAAUUUUGAAGAGAAAUAGCAGAGGUUCUUGGGAUUGGUUGAGGAACACUACUCUAUUACCAUGCUGCCCUUACUAUCUAUUUAAUACUUAAAUACAGCAUUUCAUUAUUUUCUAUUUGUCUCUGCCAGUUAGAGUGUCAGCUCCUUGAGAGCAAGAAGCCUUAUGGUUCUAUUGCUUCCCCGACAGUAUCCAAUAAUGCUCUGCCCAGGAUAGUAAAUUAUGAGUAAUCAAUUGAUUGCUUGCUUCAGAGGUUGCUGAAUUCAAUGAUUGAUUAAGGCUUCCUGAGUGUUAAUACUUCAGAGUCUGUACCAGUCAGUUCACUGGUUUAGAGAAGACAUUAUUAUUGUAGAUUACAGAAAAUGGGUUCAGACCAAAUAUGAGCCAUUUUGAGACAUGAAGGGAGGUUCUGUCGGCUUACCACAGUAGUGCUCCAUUUGCCUGCCACCUGCAUUCAGAUCAUAACCCCUGAGCACUCACACCUCCUGCUGGAGCCCUGAGCUAGAGAAUGGAGAUGGCCAGGUGUGGUGGUGCACACCUAUAAUCCCAGCUUCUGGGGAGGCUGAGGCAUGAGAAUCACUUGAGCCUGGGAGGCAGAGGUUGCAGUGAGCUGAGAUUGCGCCCUUGCACUCCAGCCUGGGUGACAGAGUGAGACUCCAUCUUAAAAUAAAUAAAUUAAAUUAAAU